ACCCGCUGAACUUAAGCAUAUCAAUAAGCGGAGGAAAAGAAACUAACAAGGAUUCCCUUAGUAACGGCGAGUGAACCGGGAAGAGCUCAAAUUUGUAAUCUGGCGUCCUUCGGGCGUCCGAGUUGUAAUCUAUAGAGGUGUUUUCCGCGCCGGACCACGUUUAAGUCUCCUGGAACGGAGUAUCAAAGAGGGUGACAAUCCCGUACUUGACGUGACGACCGGUGCUAUGUGAUACACUCUCAACGAGUCGAGUUGUUUGGGAAUGCAGCUCUAAAUGGGUGGUAAAUUCCAUCUAAGGCUAAAUAUUGGCGAGAGACCGAUAGCGAACAAGUACCGUGAGGGAAAGAUGAAAAGCACUUUGGAAAGAGAGUUAAACAGCACGUGAAAUUGUUAAAAGGGAAACGAUUGAAGUCAGUCGCGCACUUGGUAUUCAGCCGUCUCUGACGGUGUAUUUGCCUUGUGCGGGUCAACAUCAGUUCUGAUCGGCGGAAAAGGGCUGGAAGAAGGUGGCACCCUCGGGUGUGUUAUAGCUUCCUGUCGUAUACGUCGGUUGGGACUGAGGAAUGCAGCUUGCCGCAAGGCCGGGGUUCGCCCACGUUCAAGCUUAGGAUGUUGACAUAAUGGCUUU
RNAcentral lists this ribosomal RNA (628 nucleotides) under uncultured fungus. Its description in RNAcentral is "eukaryotic LSU rRNA". It matches the Rfam family "Eukaryotic large subunit ribosomal RNA", at positions 23 to 641 of the family's 3401-position model. Lineage: Eukaryota; Fungi. The record is from RNAcentral.